This 1347-nucleotide ribosomal RNA is filed under the name uncultured bacterium. RNAcentral's name for it is "bacterial SSU rRNA". It matches the Rfam family "Bacterial small subunit ribosomal RNA", at positions 28 to 1381 of the family's 1533-position model. The record is from RNAcentral.
GACGAACGCUGGCGGCGUGCUUAACACAUGCAAGUCGAACGAUGAAGCCUAGCUUGCUAGGUGGAUUAGUGGCGAACGGGUGAGUAAUACGUGAGUAACCUACCUUUAACUCUGGGAUAAGCCUGGGAAACUGGGUCUAAUACCGGAUACGACCAAUCUCCGCAUGGGGUGUUGGUGGAAAGCGUUAUGUAGUGGUUAUAGAUGGGCUCACGGCCUAUCAGCUUGUUGGUGAGGUAACGGCUCACCAAGGCGACGACGGGUAGCCGGCCUGAGAGGGUGACCGGCCACACUGGGACUGAGACACGGCCCAGACUCCUACGGGAGGCAGCAGUGGGGAAUAUUGCACAAUGGGCGCAAGCCUGAUGCAGCGACGCCGCGUGAGGGAUGACGGCCUUCGGGUUGUAAACCUCUGUUAGCAGGGAAGAAGAGAGAUUGACGGUACCUGCAGAGAAAGCGCCGGCUAACUACGUGCCAGCAGCCGCGGUAAUACGUAGGGCGCGAGCGUUGUCCGGAAUUAUUGGGCGUAAAGAGCUUGUAAGCGGUUUGUCGCGUCUGCUGUGAAGGCCGGGGCUUAACUCCGUGUAUUGCAGUGGGUACGGGCAGACUAGAGUGCAGUAGGGGAGACUGGAAUUCCUGGUGUAGCGGUGGAAUGCGCAGAUAUCAGGAGGAACACCGAUGGCGAAGGCAGGUCUCUGGGCUGUAACUGACGCUGAGAAGCGAAAGCAUGGGGAGCGAACAGGAUUAGAUACCCUGGUAGUCCAUGCCGUAAACGUUGGGCACUAGGUGUGGGGGACAUUCCACGUUUUCCGCGCCGUAGCUAACGCGUUAAGUGCCCCGCCUGGGGAGUACGGCCGCAAGGCUAAAACUCAAAGAAAUUGACGGGGGCCCGCACAAGCGGCGGAGCAUGCGGAUUAAUUCGAUGCAACGCGAAGAACCUUACCAAGGCUUGACAUAUACUGGACCGCAUCAGAGAUGGUGUUUCCCUUCGGGGCUGGUAUACAGGUGGUGCAUGGUUGUCGUCAGCUCGUGUCGUGAGAUGUUGGGUUAAGUCCCGCAACGAGCGCAACCCUCGUUCUAUGUUGCCAGCACGUUAUGGUGGGGACUCAUAGGAGACUGCCGGGGUCAACUCGGAGGAAGGUGGGGAUGACGUCAAAUCAUCAUGCCCCUUAUGUCUUGGGCUUCACGCAUGCUACAAUGGCCGGUACAGAGGGUUGCGAUACUGUGAGGUGGAGCUAAUCCCUAAAAGCCGGUCUCAGUUCGGAUUGGGGUCUGCAACUCGACCCCAUGAAGUCGGAGUCGCUAGUAAUCGCAGAUCAGCAACGCUGCGGUGAAUACGUUCCCGGGCCU